GAUAGUACCUUACUAUAAGUGUUGUCCAACAUUACUGGUGCCAGAAGACUCGGUAACGCCAGAAACGCAAACGUUAGUCGUCUUAAUCAGGCGUAAAGGGUAAGUAGGCUGCUUUAACAGUUAUGGAUUAGAAAGCUCUUUAAAUUACAGGCUCUGCCUGUAAAGUAAUUAAUAAUGAAUUAAAGCUAGAAUCAAAUAGAGGAUAAGACAAAUAACGCUAAGAGUAAGGCUGAUAUCUCUAGAUACUUAGCGGAAUACUAAAGGUGAAAACUUUUAUCUACUAUUGAUUGACGCUGAGGAACGAAGGUGAGAAUAGAAAACAGGAUUAGAGACCCAGGUAUCUCUCACUGUCAACGAUGAAUGGUGGUUGUUAGUUUUUAACUUAAACUAGUAACGAUGUUAACGCGAUAACCAUUCCGCCUUGCGA
This 427-nucleotide ribosomal RNA is filed under the name Lepiota baiyunensis. RNAcentral's name for it is "partial small subunit ribosomal RNA". It matches the Rfam family "Bacterial small subunit ribosomal RNA", at positions 471 to 879 of the family's 1533-position model. Lineage: Eukaryota; Fungi; Basidiomycota; Agaricomycetes; Agaricales; Agaricaceae. The record is from RNAcentral.